UCGCAUAUGCAUGUACAAAUGCAGAGACAAGUUGCAUGUAUAUACAUUCAUGGCGCCAAAUAUACAUACAAACAACAAAUUAUUACAUGUGUAGUAAUACAUAUAGGCAAUUAAAUAAAUUACAUGAUUUAAGCACAAAUAUUCCUGUACGUAUAUAUAUACGCAGUUGGCUGUGACAGUACAAUUGUGUAACCAUCUUUGCAGGCAGCACACCACAUGCACACAAGCAAACGCCGGCCGGAUUAAACGUGUCGGCGUCGUG
Molecule: long non-coding RNA, 262 nt
Filed under: Oryza brachyantha (malo sina)
Lineage: Eukaryota; Viridiplantae; Streptophyta; Magnoliopsida; Poales; Poaceae
Description: long non-coding RNA (OBRA_LNC001144)
Source: RNAcentral